GAUGAACGCUGGCGGCGUGCCUAAUACAUGCAAGUCGAGCGAACAGAUAAGGAGCUUGCUCCUUUGACGUUAGCGGCGGACGGGUGAGUUACACGUGGAUAACCUACCUAUAAGACUGGGAUAACUUCGGGAAACCGGAGCUAAUAUCGGAUAACAUAUUGAACCGCAUGGUUCAAUAGUGAAAGGCGGCUUUGCUGUCACUUAUAGAUGGAUCCGCGCCGUAUUAGCUAGUUGGUAAGGUAACGGCUUACCAAGGCAACGAUACGUAGCCGACCUGAGAGGGUGAUCGGCCACACUGGAACUGAGACACGGUCCAGACUCCUACGGGAGGCAGCAGUAGGGAAUCUUCCGCAAUGGGCGAAAGCCUGACGGAGCAACGCCGCGUGAGUGAUGAAGGUCUUCGGAUCGUAAAACUCUGUUAUCAGGGAAGAACAAAUGUGUAAGUAACUGUGCACAUCUUGACGGUACCUGAUCAGAAAGCCACGGCUAACUACGUG
RNAcentral lists this ribosomal RNA (497 nucleotides) under uncultured bacterium. Its description in RNAcentral is "partial 16S ribosomal RNA". It matches the Rfam family "Bacterial small subunit ribosomal RNA", at positions 28 to 507 of the family's 1533-position model. The record is from RNAcentral.